UACGGAGGGUGCAAGCGUUAUCCGGAUUUACUGGGUUUAAAGGGUGCGCAGGCGGAUAUGUAAGUCAGUGGUGAAAUCUUUAGGCUUAACCCGAAAAUUGCCGUUGAUACUAUAUAUCUUGAAUGUUGUGGAGGUAAGCAGAAUAUGUCAUGUAGCGGUGAAAUGCUUAGAUAUGACAUAGAAUACCUAUUGCGAAGGCAGCUUACUACGCAGAUAUUGACGCUCAUGCACGAAAGCGUGGGGAUCAAACAGG
Molecule: ribosomal RNA, 253 nt
Filed under: uncultured bacterium
Lineage: Bacteria
Description: partial 16S ribosomal RNA
Rfam family: Bacterial small subunit ribosomal RNA
Source: RNAcentral